AUUUGCUCUUCUUCUUUUCUCAAAUUCACAGUACUUUCAGAUUGUUAGCUAUUAAAAUAAACUCAGUUUUCUGAAAAGUGAAAUCUAAUGUGAAAACAAUGAACUGAUUUAAUUCUACAGAAGAUAGAGGCAGAUAUUGUCAACAGAAACAGAGAUACAAUUUCAAGCAACAUGGAAGACUCCUUGAAAUGGUUUCACAUUUUUUAUGACUGUAAAGAUGAUGCCUCAGCAAUUCCUGCUCCUCAUGUGUCCCAGAACAAAGAGCAAAGCCACUGGAAGCAGCUACAUGGACAGCAGGAUGAACAUAUACGGUAUCAACUGAACCUGGAUUUGACAAAGACAGAAGUUGUGCUGCAGGAGCAUUCACAC
This 369-nucleotide long non-coding RNA is filed under the name Fukomys damarensis (Damara mole-rat). RNAcentral describes it as "lncRNA (ENSFDAG00000032776.1)". The record is from RNAcentral. Lineage: Eukaryota; Metazoa; Chordata; Mammalia; Rodentia; Bathyergidae.